Cyprinus carpio carpio is the source of this 100-nucleotide microRNA precursor. NCBI's taxonomy places the organism in Eukaryota, Metazoa, Chordata, Actinopteri, Cypriniformes, Cyprinidae. The record is from Ensembl.
UUUUAAUAUGGUCUUCCUGCUAAGGUGCAUCUUGUGUAGUUAGUGAAGUAGUAUAGUAUCUACUGCGCUAGAUGCUCCUUUUGGCAGGAGGAGCUGUAUA